CCAGACUCCUACGGGAGGCAGCAGUGGGGAAUAUUGCACAAUGGGGGGAACCCUGAUGCAGCGACGCCGCGUGAGUGAAGAAGUAUUUCGGUAUGUAAAGCUCUAUCAGCAGGGAAGAAAAUGACGGUACCUGACUAAGAAGCCCCGGCUAACUACGUGCCAGCAGCCGCGGUAAUACGUAGGGGGCAAGCGUUAUCCGGAUUUACUGGGUGUAAAGGGAGCGUAGACGGUUAUGCAAGUCUGAAGUGAAAGCCCAAGGCUCAACCAUGGGACUGCUUUGGAAACUGUAAAACUGGAGUGCAGGAGAGGUAAGCGGAAUUCCUAGUGUAGCGGUGAAAUGCGUAGAUAUUAGGAGGAACACCAGUGGCGAAGGCGGCUUACUGGACUGUAACUGACGUUGAGGCUCGAAGGCGUGGGGAGCAAACAGGAUUAGAUACCCGAGUA
Molecule: ribosomal RNA, 444 nt
Filed under: uncultured bacterium
Lineage: Bacteria
Description: bacterial SSU rRNA
Rfam family: Bacterial small subunit ribosomal RNA
Source: RNAcentral